UUGUUUACUGACGUGUUUCGAAAGCGCAGAAGGAGUCACUGCGAUGAAAACAAAACGACGCUCAGAAAUUAACCCUUAAAUUUAUGCAAAACUCUAUCUCUUUCCUCCUGAAAAGCAAUCCGCUUAUUUGAACUUCAGUCUGUGAUAGAUUUUUUUUUUUUGCGAGCCGACUUUGAUCGCCUGAUCGGGACCGGCUCUUUCCUCGAAGCGCACUGGACAACAAAUUGCCUCUCGAGCCACUCGCUGUCAGCUUUACCGUUAGCUUAGCUCCUUCUCGCACUGUGUCGUUUUGUGUUCCCCUCUGCAGCCGCUGUCUGCUGAUCGAUCGGAGACAUGUCGGAAGAUUAUGAAUUCAGCGAAGACUCGAGCAUGAUGAGAAUGGAGGAGGAUGGGGAGGGCAACUGUGACGAUCCCAUGUCCACCUCUGGGGACUGUGGCCUGAUGGGAGGAGAGGCCGACGGGUCGAAGAUCGAUGCCAGUAAAAAUGAGGAGGAUGAAGGGAAGAUGUUUGUUGGAGGGCUCAGCUGGGACACGACCAAGAAGGACCUGAAGGAUUACUUCACAAAGUUCGGGGAGGUGGUGGACUGCACUUUAAAACUGGACCCUAUGACCGGGCGCUCACGGGGCUUCGGCUUCGUGCUCUUUAAAAAUCCAGAAAGCGUUGAAAAGGUUGCCUCACAGAAGGAACACAAGCUCAACGGGAAAGUGAUUGAUCCCAAAAAAGCAAAGGCCAUGAAGAGCAAGGAGCCCGUGAAGAAGAUCUUUGUAGGUGGGCUGUCCCCAGACACGCCCGAGGAGAAAGUCAGAGAGUAUUUCGGUGCCUUUGGAGAGGUGCGUGGUCUCCUAAGUUACAAAUGUGCCCGCGCUAUUAUUUUCCUUAAACCCACUGGACGCCAUGUCUGUGCUGUAAACAAUCAGGUGGAAUCCAUCGAGCUUCCCAUGGAGACCAAAACGAACAAGCGGCGGGGCUUCUGCUUCAUCACCUUCAAGGAGGAGGAACCAGUGAAGAUGAUCAUGGAGAAGAAAUACCACAAUAUCGGGCUCAGCAAGUGUGAGGUGAAGGUGGCCGUGUCCAAGGAGCAGUACCAGCAGCAGCAGUACUGGGGAGGCAGAGGAGGAUACUCCUCCAGGUCUCGAGGGAGAGGUGGGGGACCCAACCAAAGCUGGAACCCGGGUUAUGGUAACUACUGGAAUCAGGGAUAUGGGAAUUAUGGAAAUUAUGGUUAUGGCAAUCAAGGAUAUGGUGGCUAUGGAGGCUACGAUUACUCUGGCUACAACAAUUAUUAUGGAUAUACCGACUACAACAAUCAGUCUGGUGGAUAUGGGAAGUCACCACGGCGUGGUGGUCACACCAACAGUUACAAACCGUAUUAAAGGGACAAACCGUCCACCUCCAAGUCGCGGAGCUUCCUUGCAGGCCAUGAGCUGACUCCCAGAUACUCUCAGGGCCCGCUCAAUGCGGACCGGGUAUGAGAAGCAUACGCUCUCGAAUGCUGCCGUUUGGCUUCGGCGGCGAAAGCAUCGGCCACAGAGACGAUCCAGCUAAAGACAUGGCUAGUUUAUGAAAGCAAAAGGAAGACUGCUUUGAACCCACCGUACAUUUCUCCUGUAUUUACCCAAGUGUCCCUUUUUUUGGGAGUUUUUUGGUUUGUUUGUUUGUUUCUUUCUUUCUUAUUGCAUUCGUUUAGAUCGCUUCAGGGUUUUUCUCCCGUCCUCGUUCUUUCUUGGUUUGUGUGUGACGUUCUUUCUGCUUGGCGUCGCGCCGCCCGGCGCUCGCAAGAGACGGCAGCAGAGAGACGAGAUCACAGUUUUACCCGCUUUAUGGUGUUUCAUCAGUCAUAUAAUACAAAUAUUCUUACAGAGUUUGGCAUCCAGAAACGUACAUUAUAUACACGUGAUGUAUUGGACAUUAAAAUGAUCAAAAUAACAAGAAUAAAAAUGAAAAAAAAAAACAAAAA
Molecule: RNA transcript, 1958 nt
Organism: Poeciliopsis prolifica (blackstripe livebearer)
Lineage: Eukaryota; Metazoa; Chordata; Actinopteri; Cyprinodontiformes; Poeciliidae
Gene name: heterogeneous nuclear ribonucleoprotein D0-like
Exons: 8
Source: RefSeq, a predicted model, not a curated record